GCAAAAUGGAAUUCGAGGCGCUAGUGUACGGAGAGUUUCGACGGUUCCACGAAAAAGACCGAGAUGGCUGCUCUCAGGUUUUCUCUCUGCUAAAAUAGAUGUUCUACUCAUCAGGAAACGCUUAUUAAUUGCGUAAUCAUUGAUUGCGUAAAACAGAACGAACGAUCAGUGAGCUGUCAGUGAUUAUCAUUUUUACUGUAGAUUCCUAAAUUUAGAUUAAACACAUUGAUGGAUUACUCAACCAUUGUGCAAUCGUUGUAUUCGUUGUAACCGAUGUGUUUUUUGAAUGUAGCUAGACAUCACUUUACUAUUUCAAUACGAGUGUUGUUUUCCUCUUUGAUUGUGGAUAUUACAUAUGCAAUGUCCUGUUUUGUGAAAAGUUGUAGCAAUUAUUAUUGAAAAACAAAAUUACUUGACGGGAACAGCUUAAAAUACUUUUGUUUCCAAAAGAUUUUACGAUCGCAACUAAGUGGCUUGCAAUAUGCGAAAAACAAAACGUUAACAUUACAAAAGAUAUGAUAUAUUCAGAUAUAUUCUCAACACUUUGAUGCAUCAUGCUUUGUACAGCCAUCGAAAGAAAAGUCGCUUUUCUAUUCUCAGAAAAGACUGACAAAAUUGAAAGUAGAUGCAAUGUUACAUUUAAUGUUUGACCGCAAGUGGAAGCUGCUCAUUUUGAUAAAGAACCAUUGCCAUUAAUUGAUAAAUUAGAUAUGAAAGAAUCAACAUGCAAUGACAUCAACUUUUGAAUCACAAUGCAACGAUACAGUGCUAUCUGACACAUUUGGCAAUGAUAUACCUGUGCCAUAAGGAAUCCAGUCGAUUCAGAAUACUACCAUCUACAUUGCAGAUAAUUAAUCGAACCAUUGCUCUAGAAAAUAGAUAUAAAAA
This 888-nucleotide long non-coding RNA is filed under the name Pogonomyrmex barbatus (red harvester ant). Its description in RNAcentral is "uncharacterized LOC105428580, transcript variant X1". Lineage: Eukaryota; Metazoa; Arthropoda; Insecta; Hymenoptera; Formicidae. The record is from RNAcentral.